Long non-coding RNA from Panicum virgatum (switchgrass), 874 nucleotides. RefSeq lists it as uncharacterized. The record is from RefSeq and is a predicted model, not a curated record. The transcript is spliced from 2 exons. NCBI's taxonomy places the organism in Eukaryota, Viridiplantae, Streptophyta, Magnoliopsida, Poales, Poaceae.
GUGGCGGAGCCAGUCCCAGCACCUAGUGGGGAUCAUUUCUCUGCCUCCCUCUUCUUCUUCCUCCUUUCCCUUCUCUCCUCCUCAUUCCUCUUUGCUCCAAUGGAGUUCUUGGGGGGUACAGGGGCUUGAGCGCCCCCUGGCUCCGCCCCUUGUGGCGCGCUUGCUCGUACGUCACGUCAGAGCACUGUUUUUUUUCGUUUUGGGCGAUAAUCGAAUUAUCUAACCCAUAGGUACAAUCCUAGAUUUCUACUAAUUCCACAAACAUUUACUGAGCCACAUCACGCAUCUAACCUUUCUUGUUCCUCCACUUGCCAAAUCUGCGUAAGAAUCUGAUUUAUCUCAUCCAUGGAAGCCAUAGGCAUGGCUCCCGCUCCUCCUCCCGCUCCAGCUGCUCGAGUGCAGGGUCAAUGGGGAAGGGGAUGGGGUCAAUCUCAACGAUCUCCGACUCCUCCUCCUCCUGGUGCUCCUUGUCCAAAGGGGGGCGCGGUGCUGCCACAUCUUCUUCUUCCCUCCCUCUUUGCUCCAAUGGAGUUCUUGGGGGUAGGGGGCUUGGGCCCGCCCUACCCCCACGCUGGUUUCGCCCCUGCCGACAACAGCUUCUGAGCCAAUCCGGUUUUCUCGCUGAAAUGGGUGGGUGAAAGCGAGAGGAAUCCAAGAAAAUUUAGAUGGUUGAUGGAGAUGGUGGAGCACCGGAGCAGUUUGCCACCGUCUCAUUUGACAACUGAGCCCGUCUAGUAGCAUACAGGUUUCCAAAUAAUCAUCGCUGUCAACCAUUCAGGUUUCCAAAUAAUCAUAGCAGUCAACUUCUCUACUUAAAAUUUUGUCCACUGAUUUUUCACACAUAUCAUAUGCAUUGCUUCACCAAAUGUUUUAA